AUUGAACGCUGGCGGCAUGCUUUACACAUGCAAGUCGAACGGCAGCGGGGGCUUCGGCCUGCCGGCGAGUGGCGAACGGGUGAGUAAUGCAUCGGAACGUACCCAGUCAUGGGGGAUAACUACGCGAAAGCGUAGCUAAUACCGCAUACGCCCUGAGGGGGAAAGCGGGGGAUCGCAAGACCUCGCGUGAUUGGAGCGGCCGAUGUCGGAUUAGCUAGUUGGUGGGGUAAAGGCCUACCAAGGCGACGAUCCGUAGCGGGUCUGAGAGGAUGAUCCGCCACACUGGGACUGAGACACGGCCCAGACUCCUACGGGAGGCAGCAGUGGGGAAUUUUGGGACAAUGGGCGCAAGCCUGAUCCAGCCAUGCCGCGUGUCUGAAGAAGGCCUUCGGU
This 393-nucleotide ribosomal RNA is filed under the name uncultured bacterium. RNAcentral describes it as "bacterial SSU rRNA". It matches the Rfam family "Bacterial small subunit ribosomal RNA", at positions 28 to 422 of the family's 1533-position model. The record is from RNAcentral.